This 448-nucleotide ribosomal RNA is filed under the name Capnocytophaga granulosa. RNAcentral's name for it is "bacterial SSU rRNA". It matches the Rfam family "Bacterial small subunit ribosomal RNA", at positions 28 to 479 of the family's 1533-position model. The record is from RNAcentral. Lineage: Bacteria; Pseudomonadati; Bacteroidota; Flavobacteriia; Flavobacteriales; Flavobacteriaceae.
GAUGAACGCUAGCGGCAGGCCUAACACAUGCAAGUCGAGGGAGAAGCCCUUCGGGGCAGAAACCGGCGCACGGGUGCGUAACGCGUAUGCAACCUACCUUUCACAGGGGGAUAGCCCGAAGAAAUUUGGAUUAAUACCCCAUAAUAUUAUUGGAUGGCAUCAUUUGAUAAUUAAAAUUACGAUGGUGAAAGAUGGGCAUGCGUCCUAUUAGCUAGUUGGAGUGGUAACGGCACCCCAAGGCUACGAUAGGUAGGGGUCCUGAGAGGGAGAUCCCCCACACUGGUACUGAGACAGGGACCAGACUCCUACGGGAGGCAGCAGUGAGGAAUAUUGGUCAAUGGUCGGAAGACUGAACCAGCCAUGCCGCGUGCAGGAAGAAUGCCUUAUGGGUUGUAAACUGCUUUUAUAUGGGAAGAAUAAGGAGUACGUGUACUUUGAAGACGGUACC